CCGAUGAAGGACGUUACUAACGACGAUAUGCUUUGGGGAGCUGUAAGUAAGCUUUGAUCCAGAGAUUUCCGAAUGGGGAAACCCAGCAUGAGUUAUGUCAUGUUAUCGAUAUGUGAAUACAUAGCAUAUCAGAAGGCACACCCGGAGAACUGAAACAUCUUAGUACCCGGAGGAAGAGAAAGAAAAUUCGAUUCCCUUAGUAGCGGCGAGCGAAACGGGAAGAGCCCAAACCAACAAGCUUGCUUGUUGGGGUUGUAGGACACUCUAUACGGAGUUACAAAGGACGACAUUAGACGAAUCAUCUG
This 305-nucleotide ribosomal RNA is filed under the name Staphylococcus aureus. RNAcentral's name for it is "partial 23S ribosomal RNA". It matches the Rfam family "Bacterial large subunit ribosomal RNA", at positions 46 to 344 of the family's 2925-position model. Lineage: Bacteria; Bacillati; Bacillota; Bacilli; Caryophanales; Staphylococcaceae. The record is from RNAcentral.